GGGCUCGUAGCUCAGCUAGGCAGAGCACCGGGCUUUUAACGCCUGCGGCGUUGCUGCUGCGUGCAGAAACCCGAUGGCCGAGGGUUCAAAUCCCUUCGAGCCCG
Molecule: transfer RNA, 104 nt
Filed under: Desulfobacterales bacterium C00003060
Lineage: Bacteria; Pseudomonadati; Thermodesulfobacteriota; Desulfobacteria; Desulfobacterales
Also listed under: 3 other names
Description: tRNA-Lys
Rfam family: tRNA
About the family: Transfer RNA (tRNA) molecules are approximately 80 nucleotides in length.
Source: RNAcentral